CGUGAAACUGCGAAUGGCUCAUUAAAUCAGUUAUCGUUUAUUUGAUAGUACCUUACUACUUGGAUAACCGUGGUAAUUCUAGAGCUAAUACAUGCUAAAAACCCCGACUUCGGAAGGGGUGUAUUUAUUAGAUAAAAAACCAAUGCCCUUCGGGGCUCUUUGGUGAUUCAUGAUAACUUCUCAGAUCGCAUGGCCUUGCGCCGGCGACGGUUCAUUCAAAUUUCUGCCCUAUCAACUUUCGAUGGUAAGGUAUUGGCUUACCAUGGUUUCAACGGGUAACGGGGAAUUAGGGUUCGAUUCCGGAGAGGGAGCCUGAGAAACGGCUACCACAUCCAAGGAAGGCAGCAGGCGCGCAAAUUACCCAAUCCCGACACGGGGAGGUAGUGACAAUAAAUACUGAUACAGGGCUCUUUUGGGUCUUGUAAUUGGAAUGAGUACAAUUUAAACCUCUUAACGAGGAACAAUUGGAGGGCAAGUCUGGUGCCAGCAGCCGCGGUAAUUCCAGCUCCAAUAGCGUAUAUUAAAGUUGUUGCAGUUAAAAAGCUCGUAGUUGAACCUUGGGCCUGGCUGGCAGGUCCGCCUCACCGCGUGUACUUGACCGGCCGGGCCUUCUCUUCUGGAGAACCUCAUGCCCUUUACUGGGCGUGUUGGGGACCAGGACUUUUACUUUGAAAAAAUUAGAGUGUUCAAAGCAGGCCUUUGCUCGAAUAUGUUAGCAUGGAAUAAUGGAAUAGGACGUGCGGUCCUAUUUUGUUGGUUUCUAGGACCGCCGUAAUGAUUAAUAGGGACAGUCGGGGGCAUCAGUAUUCAAUUGUCAGAGGUGAAAUUCUUGGAUUUAUUGAAGACUAACUACUGCGAAAGCAUUUGCCAAGGAUGUUUUCAUUAAUCAGUGAACGAAAGUUAGGGGAUCGAAGACGAUCAGAUACCGUCGUAGUCUUAACCAUAAACUAUGCCGACUAGGGAUCGGGCGAUGUUUCAAUAUUGACUCGCUCGGCACCUUACGAGA
RNAcentral lists this ribosomal RNA (1006 nucleotides) under Aquihelicascus songkhlaensis. RNAcentral describes it as "SSU rRNA". It matches the Rfam family "Eukaryotic small subunit ribosomal RNA", at positions 80 to 1095 of the family's 1831-position model. Lineage: Eukaryota; Fungi; Ascomycota; Dothideomycetes; Pleosporales; Morosphaeriaceae. The record is from RNAcentral.